RNAcentral lists this long non-coding RNA (756 nucleotides) under Anas platyrhynchos platyrhynchos (common mallard). RNAcentral's name for it is "lncRNA (ENSAPLG00000019642.1)". The record is from RNAcentral. Lineage: Eukaryota; Metazoa; Chordata; Aves; Anseriformes; Anatidae.
AAGCAUGUCCAAUGGAUGUCCCAUGAGUUAAGCAUGUCCUUAACAUGUUCCCAUGAUCGAAGUGUGUCCAAUGGAUCUCGCAUGACCUAAGCAUGUCCUUAACAUGUCCCAUGACCCAAGCAUGUCCGAUGGCUCUCGCAUGAUGCAGGCGUGUCCCAUGGACAUCCCAUGACUGAAGCAUGUUUGAAGCAUGUCCCAUGACUCAAGCGUGUCCAAUGGAUGUCACAUGACCUAAGCAUGUCCUUAACAUGUUCCCACGACCGAAGCACGUCCGAAGCACAUCCCAUGUCCUUAACAUGUUCCCAUGCCCCAAGCAUGUCCAGAGGAUGUCCCAUGACUUACACAUGUCCUUAACAUGUUCCCAUGUCCUUAACAUGUUCCAUGCCCCAAACACGUCCUUAACGUGCCCCCACCCCACCCACCGCGUGUCCCACGCCCCACACGCGUCCGCCACGCGUGUCCCGUGUCCGAGGCGUGUCCCAGGCGUGUCCGAGGCGUGUCCCAGGCGUGUUCCAGGCGUGUUCAGGCGUGGCGGGGCAGGGGGUGGCUGACCCGCAGGCAGCCCCAGUAACCAGCCCGCAGGAGGCAGGCGCCCGCCCCGGCCACCAGUAGGGCCCAGGCCGCGUGCAGGGCCCCGAAACGCCGGGCGGCCGCCCACGUGCCCACCUGGGGGGGGACCAGUAUGGACCAGUAAGGGCCCAGUAUGGCCCAGUAACCCAGAAAGGCCCCACCAGUACAUACCAGUAAGGAACGAGG